GGGACGACGUCAAGUCAUCACUGGCCCUUAUGUCCUGGGCUACACACGUGCUACAAUGGCCGGUACAGAGCGCAGCGAGGCCGCGAGGCGGAGCGAAUCGCUUAAAGCCGGUCCCAGUACGGAUUGGAGUCUGCAACCCGACUCCAUGAAGUUGGAAUCGCUAGUAAUCGCGCAUCAGCAUGGCGCGGUGAAUACGUUCCCGGGCCUU
This 208-nucleotide ribosomal RNA is filed under the name uncultured Spirochaeta sp. Its description in RNAcentral is "partial 16S ribosomal RNA". It matches the Rfam family "Bacterial small subunit ribosomal RNA", at positions 1176 to 1382 of the family's 1533-position model. The record is from RNAcentral. Lineage: Bacteria; Pseudomonadati; Spirochaetota; Spirochaetia; Spirochaetales; Spirochaetaceae.